ACCCGCCCGUAAGGCUGGGAUAACUUCGGGAAACCCGGGGUAAUACCCGGAGCUUGGUUGAACCGCCUGGUUCAAUUAUAAAAAGUGGCUUUUAGCUACCACUUACAGAUGGACCCGCGGCGCAUUAGCUAGUUGGUGAGGUAACGGCUCACCAAGGCAACGAUGCGUAGCCGACCUGAGAGGGUGAUCGGCCACACUGGGACUGAGACACGGCCCAGACUCCUACGGGAGGCAGCAGUAGGGAAUCUUCCGCAAUGGACGAAAGUCUGACGGAGCAACGCCGCGUGAGUGAUGAAGGUUUUCGGAUCGUAAAACUCUGUUGUUAGGGAAGAACAAGUACCGUUCGAAUAGGGCGGUACCUUGACGGACC
RNAcentral lists this ribosomal RNA (370 nucleotides) under Bacillus sp. BTSI34. RNAcentral describes it as "bacterial SSU rRNA". It matches the Rfam family "Bacterial small subunit ribosomal RNA", at positions 124 to 478 of the family's 1533-position model. The record is from RNAcentral. Lineage: Bacteria; Bacillati; Bacillota; Bacilli; Caryophanales; Bacillaceae.